AUCCAACUGAAAUGGGCAAAUGAUUAGAAUAGAAAUUCCUCAGAAAAAGACAUGCAUAUGGCUAACAAGUAUAUGAAAAAAUGCUCAACAUCACUAAUCAUCAGAGAAAUGCAAAUCAAAAUCACAUUGAGAUAUCAUCUCA
Molecule: long non-coding RNA, 142 nt
Organism: Sapajus apella (tufted capuchin)
Lineage: Eukaryota; Metazoa; Chordata; Mammalia; Primates; Cebidae
Exons: 3
Source: RefSeq, a predicted model, not a curated record